CCCAGGUCAGGCGGGGC
Molecule: ribosomal RNA, 17 nt
Filed under: Camissonia strigulosa
Lineage: Eukaryota; Viridiplantae; Streptophyta; Magnoliopsida; Myrtales; Onagraceae
Description: partial 28S ribosomal RNA
Source: RNAcentral